CAGGUACAACAGACGAUUGCUCCAAAAUCAGGAGAGGAAAGUCCGAGCUACUGAGACAAGAUUCCAUUUAACAAAUGGCUAGCGUAAGCUAAGGGAAAGUGCAACAGAAAUAAAACCGCCUUUUUUAGGUAAGGGUGAAAUGGUGAGGUAAGAGCUUACCGGGAUUUAAGUAAUUAAAUUUGUCCGUGCAAACCCAAUCUGUAGCAAAAAGAGUAUGGUUAAUGUCUCAUUUUAACUCUUUGCUUGAGAUAUAUUGCGAAAUAUGUCCCAGAUAAAUAAUCGUCCUAGACAGAACUCGGCUUAUCGUUGUGCCUGAUUU
RNAcentral lists this RNase P RNA (319 nucleotides) under Helicobacter sp. 11S03491-1. RNAcentral's name for it is "Bacterial RNase P class A". It matches the Rfam family "Bacterial RNase P class A". Rfam says of the family: Ribonuclease P (RNase P) is a ubiquitous endoribonuclease, found in archaea, bacteria and eukarya as well as chloroplasts and mitochondria. The record is from Rfam by way of RNAcentral. Lineage: Bacteria; Pseudomonadati; Campylobacterota; Epsilonproteobacteria; Campylobacterales; Helicobacteraceae.